Molecule: long non-coding RNA, 515 nt
Filed under: Homo sapiens (human)
Lineage: Eukaryota; Metazoa; Chordata; Mammalia; Primates; Hominidae
Description: non-protein coding LINC02189:7
Source: RNAcentral
CAGCCAGUGCCCUACACUAUACAAGAUGCCACUGUAGGGACAGGGAUGACCUCUAGCAAGGUGACCCUCAGUGGGCCAGAGGGGGCUUCUGAAGAGAAUUUCUCUAGCUUCUUGGUGUUUCCUGCCUGCUACUUUCAAACAAGGGUCCCAUUUUUAAUGUUUUCCCAGUAAUACCUUAUGAAUGUUAUUGCAAAGCAGCGGGCUAAAUCAACACCACAGGCCCCGUGAUCAAUAUAUGUGAUGAGGACAUUACAUCCUGGUGUUGUUGCCCCAAGUCUUGACGUGAAUCUGACCACAAGGACAAUUCGGACAACCUGAAAUGGUGACGCAUUCUACAAAAUAAACAUCAAUGUCAUGAAAGACAAAGACUCAAGAUUUUCUGCUUAAUGGAGACUAAAGAGAUGCGACAACAGAAUGCCAGGCAUGAUCUUGGAUAUUCUUUUGGCUCAAACAGUCUUAGGACAAUUGAAAAAACGUGAAUGAGGUCUGUAGCUAAUAGAAUUGUGUCAAUGCCA